UACGACGGGGGCUAGCGUUGUUCGGAAUCACUGGGCGUAAAGGGCGCGUAGGCGGCUGUUCAAGUCGGGGGUGAAAUCCCGUGGCUCAACCACGGAAUGGCCUUCGAUACUGGACGGCUGGAGACCGGAAGAGGUGAGUGGAACUGCGAGUGUAGAGGUGAAAUUCGUAGAUAUUCGCAAGAACACCAGUGGCGAAGGCGGCUCACUGGUCCGGUUCUGACGCUGAGGCGCGAAAGCGUGGGGAGCAAACAGG
Molecule: ribosomal RNA, 253 nt
Filed under: uncultured bacterium
Lineage: Bacteria
Description: partial 16S ribosomal RNA
Rfam family: Bacterial small subunit ribosomal RNA
Source: RNAcentral